Molecule: transfer RNA, 73 nt
Filed under: Acanthaster planci (crown-of-thorns starfish)
Lineage: Eukaryota; Metazoa; Echinodermata; Asteroidea; Valvatida; Acanthasteridae
Description: tRNA-Thr
Rfam family: tRNA
About the family: Transfer RNA (tRNA) molecules are approximately 80 nucleotides in length. Their secondary structure includes four short double-helical elements and three loops (D, anti-codon, and T loops).
Source: Rfam by way of RNAcentral
GGCUGGAUAGCUCAGUCGGUAGAGCACUGGUACGGUAUUCCAGAGGCCGCAAGUUCAAAUCCUGCUCCAGUCA